Molecule: long non-coding RNA, 642 nt
Organism: Coregonus clupeaformis (lake whitefish)
Lineage: Eukaryota; Metazoa; Chordata; Actinopteri; Salmoniformes; Salmonidae
Exons: 2
Source: RefSeq, a predicted model, not a curated record
CACCCAGCCAUCCUCCACCACCCACCACCCAGCCAUCCUCCACCACCCAGCCAUGCAAAGACCAGAUGACCACUGGUUCCCAGCGGUCCUCAACCUCCUCGCUCAGGUCAUUGCUGGUUGGAAAACCAUGCCCCUCCCAGAAUCUUGACAGGAAAAUAAGGAAGCUCAUGUCUCCUCGGAAGGUUCAGCCUAUUCUACUUUUCAGCCCUUCCAGCCUCUGAGCCUGAUGAUGGUGAGCUGCGUAUGGCAGCAGAGCAGCUUGAGUCAGACCUGCCAGUUGUGUCCAAAUAAAUGUCUCUAGAAAACAGCUUAAACAAAUGAAGCUACUGUUGUUAUUCUGACUGCACUUUUUGACAUGACUAAGUUAGCCAUAGUUGACUAAGUUAGCCAUAGUUGGCUAGCUAUCAAGGGAUAAGAAUGUUGCCAGCCAGUAUGGCAAUGGAACAUUAAGAACGAACGACUGGGUGGCGUCCAUAGAUACAGAACAAAAAGACUGAACGACUGGGUCGCGUCUUUGGCAACCGAACGACCAGCCAGCUUGGGUAGUAAACCCUAGCCGGCUUGGGUAGUAACCCUAGAUUUGUGUCGGGACUAUAUCUUGUGGAAGGAUGAAUUAGUAUGAAUAAAUUCAUCAAAAUAACA